This 305-nucleotide ribosomal RNA is filed under the name uncultured bacterium. RNAcentral describes it as "bacterial SSU rRNA". It matches the Rfam family "Bacterial small subunit ribosomal RNA", at positions 334 to 654 of the family's 1533-position model. The record is from RNAcentral.
UUGUCCUACGGGGGGCAGCAGUCGGGAAUAUUGCACAAUGGAGGGAACUCUGAUGCAGUGACGCCGCGUGCAGGAAGAAGGUUUUCGGAUUGUAAACUGCUUUAGAUAGGGAAGAAGAAAAGACAGUACCUAUAGAAUAAGCUCCGGCUAACUACGUGCCAGCAGCCGCGGUAAUACGUAGGGGGCAAGCGUUAUCCGGAUUUACUGGGUGUAAAGGGAGCGUAGACGGCGAUGCAAGUCUGAAGUGAAAGGCGGGGGCCCAACCCCCGGACUGCUUUGGAAACUGUAUGGCUGGAGUGCAGGAG